UUAUUCAAUUCUUCAUUUUUAUGCCCCACCUACGAUAGUAGAGGGGCAUUAUGUUUUCUGGUCUGUGCGUCCGUUCGUUCGUUCGUCCGUCCGUCUGUUCGUUCGUUCGUUCGUUCGUCUGUUCGUUCGUCCGUCUGUCCCGCUUCAGGUUAAAGUUUUUGGUCAAGGUAGUUUUUGAUGAAGUUGAAGUCCAAUCAACUUGAAACUUAGUACACAUGUUCCUUAUGAUAUUAUCUUUCUAAUUUUAAAGCCAAAUUAAACUUUUGACCCCAAUUUCACGGUCCACUGAACAUAGAAAAUGAAAGUGCAUGUUUCAGGUUAAAGUUUUUGGUCAAGGUAGUUUUUGAUGAAGUUGAAGUCCAAUCAACUUGAAACUUAGUACACAUGUUCCUUAUGAUAUUAUCUUUCUAAUUUUAAAGCCAAAUUAAACUUUUGACCCCAAUUUCACGGACGGUCCACUGAACAUAGAAAAUGAAAGUGCAUGUUUCAGGUUAAAGUUUUUGGUCAAGGUAGUUUUUGAUGAAGUUGAAGUCCAAUCAACUUGAAACUUAGUACAAAUGUUCCCUAUGAUAUUAUCUUUCUAAUUUUAAUGCCUAAUUAUAUUUUUUAUCCAAUUUCACGGUCCAUUGAACAUGGAAAAUGAUAGUGGGAGUGGGGCAUCCGUGUACUUUGGACACAUUCUUGUUUUUUCUCUCUCUGUCUGUUAUGAAGUGAUAAUAUGGCAGCUACUUAAAUGUCGUGUUUAGAAGCCGAAGUUUACCGAUUGACACUUUAUAGUAAACAAUCAACAAUUAAACGUGGAUAUUGAGUACGUCGUGUUUAACAUGAACAAUCAGAUAAUAGUUUAUUUUAAGGACAGAUCCAUGCGUAUUGCGAUCACCGGAUUUUUACGAGUGGGUCACGCUGAGGUCACUUUGCAUACGGAAAAUAUAUCGGCGAUUGCUUCGUAUCCUGGAAAUUCAAAUAAAGAAAACUUCUUCUAAAUAUGAACAAAUUAAAGAAUUUUCUUCAGAAAAAAGUACAUGUACAUAAGUUUUAUAAUGAAAAC
RNAcentral lists this long non-coding RNA (1048 nucleotides) under Mytilus galloprovincialis (Mediterranean mussel). Lineage: Eukaryota; Metazoa; Mollusca; Bivalvia; Mytilida; Mytilidae. The record is from RNAcentral.